UACGUAGGGUGCAAGCGUUAAUCGGAAUUACUGGGCGUAAAGAGUGCGUAGGUGGUUAUAUAAGACAGGCGUGAAAUCCCCGGGCUCAACCUGGGAACUGCGUUUGUGACUGUAUAGCUAGAGUACGGUAGAGGGGGGUAGAAUUCCGCGUGUAGCAGUGAAAUGCGUAGAUAUGCGGAGGAACACCGAUGGCGAAGGCAGCCCCCUGGACCUGUACUGACACUGAGGCACGAAAGCAUGGGGAGCAAACAGG
This 253-nucleotide ribosomal RNA is filed under the name uncultured bacterium. Its description in RNAcentral is "partial 16S ribosomal RNA". It matches the Rfam family "Bacterial small subunit ribosomal RNA", at positions 524 to 776 of the family's 1533-position model. The record is from RNAcentral.